This 233-nucleotide unclassified non-coding RNA is filed under the name plant metagenome. Its description in RNAcentral is "partial contains small subunit ribosomal RNA, internal transcribed spacer 1, and 5.8S ribosomal RNA". The stretch from base 1 to 54 matches the Rfam family "Eukaryotic small subunit ribosomal RNA", at positions 1778 to 1831 of the family's 1831-position model. The record is from RNAcentral.
GGAAGUAAACGUCGUAACAAGGUUUCCGUAGGUGAACCUGCGGAAGGAUCAUUCAUAAUAAAGUGUUUUAUGGCACUUUUUAAAAAUCCAUAUCCACCUUGUGUGCAAUGUUAGAUCUCGUCAAUCUUGGCGAGAUUUUUAUACAUCAACUCAUUCUUUAACUAAUUUGUCUGAAAAAUAUUAUGAAUACUUAAUUCAAAAUACAACUUUCAACAACGGAUCUCUUGGCUCUC